Molecule: ribosomal RNA, 485 nt
Filed under: Prevotella sp. oral taxon 292
Lineage: Bacteria; Pseudomonadati; Bacteroidota; Bacteroidia; Bacteroidales; Prevotellaceae
Description: bacterial SSU rRNA
Rfam family: Bacterial small subunit ribosomal RNA
Source: RNAcentral
GAUGAACGCUAGCUACAGGCUUAACACAUGCAAGUCGAGGGGAAACGGGAGAAUAGCUUGCUAUUCUUUGUCGUCGACCGGCGCACGGGUGAGUAACGCGUAUCCAACCUUCCCAUAACUAAGGAAUACCCCGUAGAAAUGCGGCCUAAUCCCUUAUGGCCUCUUAUGCCUGUCAUGGGAAUAAGAGUAAAGAUUUAUCGGUUAUGGAUGGGGAUGCGUCCGAUUAGCUUGCUGGCGGGGUAACGGCCCACCAGGGCAUCGAUCAGUAGGGGUUCUGAGAGGAAGGUCCCCCACAUUGGAACUGAGACACGGUCCAAACUCCUACGGGAGGCAGCAGUGAGGAAUAUUGGUCAAUGGGCGAGAGCCUGAACCAGCCAAGUAGCGUGCAGGAUGACGGCCCUAUGGGUUGUAAACUGCUUUUUAAGGGGAAUAAAGAGGGACACGCGUGUCCUGUUGCAUGUACCCUUGGAAUAAGGACCGCUAAU